RNAcentral lists this ribosomal RNA (1243 nucleotides) under metagenome. RNAcentral describes it as "bacterial LSU rRNA". It matches the Rfam family "Bacterial large subunit ribosomal RNA", at positions 1564 to 2818 of the family's 2925-position model. The record is from RNAcentral.
UGAAUACGAGACGCUAAGGCGUCGAAGUAGUGUAUGUCAUACUUCCAAGAAAAGCUUGCACUGUCAUAGAUAAAAAACGCCUGUACCAUAACCGACACAGGUGGGUAGGUAGAGUAUACUAAGGGGCGCGAGAUAACUCUCUCUAAGGAACUCGGCAAAAUAACUCCGUAACUUCGGGAGAAGGAGUGCCUUAUUCGUAAGGUUGCAAUAACAAGAUCCAAGCAACUGUUUAUCAAAAACACAGGUCUCCGCUAAGUCGUAAGACGAUGUAUGGGGGCUGACGCCUGCCCAGUGCCAGAAGGUUAAAGAAGUUGGUUAGCAAUUGCGAAGCUGAUAACUGAAGCCCUGGUGAACGGCGGCCGUAACAAUAACGGUCCUAAGGUAGCGAAAUUCCUUGUCGGGUAAGUUCCGACCCGCACGAAAGGCGUAAUGAUUUGGAUACUGUCUCGGAGAGGGGCUCGGUGAAAUAGACUUGUCUGUGAAGAUGCGGACUACCUGCACCAGGACAGAAAGACCCUAUGAAGCUUUACUGUAACUUGAAAUUGAAAUUGGACUUUAUUCGCGCAGUAUAGGUGGGAGGCGUUGAUUAUAAUCUUGUGGGAUUAUUGGAGCCAUCAGUGAGAUACCACUCUUGUAAUGUUAGAUUUCUAACUUUGAAUCAUUAUCUGGUCAAAGAACAGUUUCAGGCGGGCAGUUUGACUGGGGCGGUCGCCUCCUAAACGGUAACGGAGGCGUACAAAGGUUUCCUCUGAACGGUUAGAAAUCGUAUCUAGAGUGUAAAGGCAUAAGGAAGCUUGACUGUGAGACCUACAAGUCGAGCAGGGACGAAAGUCGGUCUUAGUGAUCUGACGGUACUGAGUGGAAAGGCCGUCACUCAACGGAUAAAAGUUACUCUAGGAUAACAGGCUGUUCUCCCCCAAGAGUUCACAUCGACGGGGAGGUUUGGCACCUCGGUGUCGGCUCAUCGCAUCCUGGGGCGGUAGUACGUCCCAAGGGUUGGGCUGUUCGCCCAUGAAAGCGGUACGCGAGCUGGGUUCAGAGCGUCGUGAGACAGUUCGGUCCAUAUCCGGUGUAGGCGUUAGAAUAUUGAGAGGAGCCUUCUUUAGUACGAGAGGACCGAGAAGGACAUACCUCUGGUUACCAGUUAUCGUGCCAACGGUAAACGCUGGGUAGCUAUGUAUGGAGUGGAUAACCGCUGAAAGCAUCUAAGUGGGAAGCCCACCUCAAGAUAAGUAUUCUCAUC